AGAGGACAGAGGCAGACACAGUGGCUCCCUGUACAGCAUAGUGACGAAAGCAACAUCUGUGUCUACAGCGCUUCAUCAAUAAUUCAGAAUCUUCUAACAGUUUCAGCUUUCAUGAGUCCGAAGAAUGAAAGAAACACAAGACAUCUGCAGCAGCUAGAAUGCAAACUGGACAAUCUUGCUUCAAGUGACCCCGAAGAUGCUAGCUAAACACAUUGUUCCUCUCCAAGUAUCAUGUUAUUGUGUCGUGUCCCGAUGAGUAUCAUGUCAAGAAUCCUGACGGGGAGGACAAAUAAGUGUUGUAACACCAAUACAUGAUACUCUCUUCAAGCUAACAUUUCUGCAAUAAAAAGGAUAAUCUGACAUGAACACAUCUCUAUGAAAUACCUGCUUGACAGUUGCGACCAUACCACACAACAUUUCCGUUGAUGAUGCUCAAAUUCAAAAAGAAAUGUUCCCACGGUUACCCUCAACUGGAAUUAACAGACAUUGAGAGCUAUAACACCUGUGAAUAAAAAAAUCCAAUCAACACGUCAUACCAUAAUUAACAGACAAGAUGUUAAAAGAGGGACUUUGCACUGAGUCUGGAGCCCAUUUCAAGUCUAGAUCUAGAUGAAAUAAACAACUGGCGUGAACGGAGACAUUGUCAGUGUGUACUUUGGGUAAUCAUUGAGUCAGCAGACAAACCAAUAUGCUAUUUGAAUGACUCGAAUCAUAUUUGCCGGAGGUGACAAUUUGGAUCCCGUCUAGUCUCCAGAGGUUAGUCAGACAGGGUCCAAAGGAGGUACUGUCAUUCAGAUCCAAUCAAAAUUCCUAAGCAAGUCUAUACAACUCCUUGGCAAGUAUAGAUUCAUCAGUUUCUGAAAUUGAAGAAAUUCCCAAGGCUCCAUUCUAUGAAAUAUUGAAAAACAAGUCAAAAAGGAAUCCUCAAAAUACUUUCAUUUCAGGGACUAUAGCAACGUUUUACAUGACACAGAAGUGCGCGUCCGAUACGCACGAAUGUGUAGACUGAACGCAGCAAAAAUAUAUAUAGUGUCUCGAGGGACGCACAAUAAUAUUGACUGUACCAAAUUCUUGACAAAAAAUAUAAAGUUCCUGUAAUUAAAGGAAUUAUUAAAUCUUAAA
Molecule: long non-coding RNA, 1122 nt
Organism: Haliotis rufescens (red abalone)
Lineage: Eukaryota; Metazoa; Mollusca; Gastropoda; Lepetellida; Haliotidae
Exons: 2
Source: RefSeq, a predicted model, not a curated record